GGCGAUCAGAUACCGCCCUAGUUCUGACCGUAAACGAUGCCAACUAGCGAUCCGCCAGUCGACUCAUCGCUCUGGUGGGGAGCUUCCCGGAAACGAAAGUCUUCCGGUUCCGGGGGAAGUAUGGUUGCAAAGCUGAAACUUAAAGGAAUUGACGGAAGGGCACCACCAGGAGUGGAGCCUGCGGCUUAAUUUGACUCAACACGGGGAAACUCACCCGGCCCGGACACCGUAAGGAUUGACAGAUUGAUAGCUUUUUCAUGAUUCGGUGGAUGGUGGUGCAUGGCCGUUCUUAGUUCGUGGAGCGAUUUGUCUGGUUUAUUCCGAUAACGAGCGAGACUCUGGCCUACUAAAUAGUUGGCACAUUGCCACUGUGUGCACAACUUCUUAGAGGGAUUUUCGGUGUUCAGCCGCACGAAAUUGAGCAAUAACAGGUCUGUGAUGCCCUUAGAUGUCCGGGGCUGCACGCGCGCUACACUGGCAAAAUCAGCGUGCUUGUCCUCCCCCGAAAGGGGUUGGUAAACCGAUGAAAAUUUGCCGUGAUUGGGAUCGGACAUUGCAAUUAUUGUCCGUGAACGAGGAAUCCCUUGUAAGGGCGAGUCAUCAACUCGUCCUGAAUACGUCCCUGCCC
Molecule: ribosomal RNA, 628 nt
Filed under: Rotylenchulus reniformis
Lineage: Eukaryota; Metazoa; Nematoda; Chromadorea; Rhabditida; Hoplolaimidae
Description: SSU rRNA
Rfam family: Eukaryotic small subunit ribosomal RNA
Source: RNAcentral